Long non-coding RNA from Lates calcarifer (barramundi perch), 3844 nucleotides. RefSeq lists it as uncharacterized. The record is from RefSeq and is a predicted model, not a curated record. The transcript is spliced from 2 exons. Lineage: Eukaryota; Metazoa; Chordata; Actinopteri; Centropomidae.
CAAUACCAAUAUUGAUAUUUGAGAGUUUAAUAAUGGCUUUUUAAAUCAAUUAGUCAGUCCAAAUUGCUGACAAAACAUUUGCCAGUUGUUUAAUCAAUUAAGCAAUCUUUCUAAUCUUCAAGUACUAAAGAAAAUGCUGUAAAUUGUCAUUCCGAUAACUAUUAUUACCAUAGGCUUUGUUUUUUUGUCUGUCCCUAUUGUUAAACUAAUGCCCUGAGAGAGAAUGGAAAACAUGACUUUAUGUAACAUAAAAAGAUAUCACCAUAGUGAUGAUUGUUAUUUUGUCCAUUUUUUGUCAAAAACAAUUUGAUUUAACCAUCAGAAUUAAAAACGUAAUCAUCUCCAACAAAAAAAUAUAUGUAAUUCCUUUUCUUUUACUUACACUAUUGUUUAUCAGAAUGGUCAAUACUGAAAGACAUCCCAUCUCAAUACAUAUCUAGGCAAAGAGCUGCAUGUCCAGUAUAAGAGGCAUACUCAGUGCUCUGCUGCUACCUUGUGGACGAACUGGAUGUGACCACUCUGCAGUAAUAGCCACAGCCAUAUCAACCUGCUACUGGACUGGGGGAAAAAUGAGCUGUGGGACCCUGUUCUAUAGUUGGUUCAAGUUGACUGAAAACAAAUGUAUCUGCUUACAAUCACACACUUGGUAUAAAAAAUAAAAAUAAAAAUAAAAAGGCAAGUGCAAUAUUUAAAAGUACUAAAAGUUGAUUCUAACACACACCUACAAGACAGGGCUUUAGAUUAGGUAAAUAUGCAGGAGCCGACUUGUAGUCCAUCUUAUUUAAUAUGGUGCAUAUUGCAACAAAUGUGCAAUAAUAAAAAAAAUACUGUAAGGUAAUCGUCACAAAAUUAACCUGGGGCUCCCAAGGCCCCUUGGGGGUCUGGGGCCUUGAGGCAGUUGUCCAAUUCACCCUGUUAGUAAUCCAGCCUCAGGGCUGCCUUGAAGCUGUGAUUGGAGUGUUAAAUACAUUUUAUUACAGGUUAAAUAAUACAACUGUAUUUCAAAACAAUAUCCCACUCUACCCUGAAAUCCAAUGACUUGACUGACACACACUUGCUAUUAAUCUUGGACCUAUUUGUCGUGUACCUCUUUUAUAAUUUGAUUGUGGCAUUGGUUAAAAACAUGUUAUAAAAGGCUUAGAAUUAAGAAUGGUGAAGUAUGGUAUAGCUACUAAGUAUUUUUUCACUUGUUGAGAUUUACCUUCAAACACAAUUAACACCCAAAUAAUAUAAUUCAGUAUUUCUCAAACACUACCAAAUGAAGGUGAAAGAAACACAUUAGUCAUUUUAAUAUGUGCUUGCUUUUUAUUUUAAGUGGGCAAAUAAACCACAUUUUCCCUUGGGGCCCAGUGACACCCACUGAAAAGCCCUUAAAGGCCCCCAGGCCCCAAUGAAUCAAUUUCAGAAGGGUAUAUGUUAGUAUCACAAUAUAAUUAUUUAACUUAGUCCUCCAAAUGAGUAUUGUCAAGAUUCUUACGGAGUUGGAAUUGACUUUACAGGUUGAUGUGGCUAGUUCGGUCAUUUAUUAAGAGACACCAAGGGUAUCAGUAGCAGGCUGGCAGCUGUGUUUUAAUACAGCCCACCUUUAAUUACAGAGCCCACUUACUCCACUUAAUGCUGUUAAAUUAUUGUGUUUAUCCAUUUGACCUGUUCCCUCAACAAAUUCUUUCUCAGUCAGUUUUGAUGCUACAAAUGGAUGCUGUUUACCUCUUCUUAGUUACUCUUGGAUGGAUAGCUUUGACUGUGCACACAACCCGCUGUGUGAUGCAAUACAGAAUGAAUAGUGGAAGUUGUCAGGUCAUGAACAGGCUGAGCCACUGAGGUUCAAUUGCUGAUAGAAAAAGUAUUCAUAUCUUGAUUUCCCCUCUAAACUUCUUCUCAAGGCCCAAUGAAGUAGAAAUAUCCCAUGAUUUGAUCUGUAUCUUCUCUCCCAAUAAUCUUGUCAAGACCCACCAGAUUUAUCUUGUGAUCCCUUGGAGGGGUCCAACCCCUAGGUUGGGAACCACCUGAUUAGCCCACCUAACCAUAUUGCUAAAACCAGCUCCAUUUAAAGCAUCUACAACAGUUAAGUGCUGCUUACACACUGAUGCAUCAGUAUUAACAAUAACAAUACUGUCAGAUAUAGAAACAUAUCAGUUACAGAGGCCAUUUCUUUGCAGCAUGACUAAUUUCACCUCUGAUAUUUUAAGUACAUUUUGCUGAAUAUAGGACGUUUACUUGUAAUUAAGUAUUUUAACACUGUGGUGUUAGUGCUUUUACUUAAGUAAAGGAUCUGAGUACUUCUUUCACCACUGCUAAUUACUUGAGUAAAUGUACUUGGCUAUUUUCCACAAGUGGGUUUAAUACACCUUCCUUUUGAGCUGAUAGUAUACAUACUUAAGAUUUUUCUUUUUAACACAAAUGCUCAUGCUGUUUUGUUAUCAGUUAAACAUAUGUUACGAGACUGCAGAUGAUGCUGUUGCUGUGACAAGCAGGACUAGGAAACUGUCCUGUGACAAGCAUGCUCUCUAGUAUUAACCCCAGGAAGGAGUCGUUAUACAAGAGCCUUUGCUAGAAUACCUACCCGAAAUGUAAAUCCCCCCUCCCAGCCCAUUAUACAGGCUACAGGGAGAAUGAGCCACCCGACAACACCAAGAGACAAUAUCCUCUAACCCUUCUCACAAGCAGUCGAACCUGUGAGAAGAGUGCGAAAUAACUAUACGAAACCGGGAUAGGUCAUCAAAGACGCCCCGCUGAAAAAUGCUGAAAAGCACAUAAACCGAGCUGAAAGGAAGCAAAACGAAACCUAACGUUAGUCGUUCGCCAACUUUGUUUGACAUAUCAUGUGUACAAAGAAAGUUUCUCCAAACAUGCCAACAUUAGUGGGUAGCAUUUUUUUGUAUUACAUAAUCAAAACGUGUUGUUGCAUGCAUUUUCCCUCCCGGACGGUUUCCUGGUUGCAACAGAGCAACCCCGGCUGUCCCCGUAACCGUCUAGCGGCACGGACUGCACCGAUGCCCGGCGUGCAGCGUCAGGAGACUCCGCAGAGCAACCAUGUUUCUUGGUAACGGCCAUGGUUGUCAAAACCCACCGUACUCGGUUGAUAACGCCGCUAAACGGUCACAGGGGGCCUGAAGCCGAUCCCAGCUGACAUUGGAUGAGAGGCAGGAUACAACCUGGACAGAUCGCCAGGCUAUCACAGGGCGGACAAACAGAGACAAACAACCAUUCACACUUUUUAGAGUGUCCAAUUAAGUCACCAAUUAACCUAAUCUGCAUAUCUCUGGACUGUGAGAAGAAGCCAGAGUUUGUUUCAAUAAGCAAAGUAAAAAGUAAAAAAAAAAAAAAAAAAAAGUGAAUUGGAAUCUAUGAGGCUUUUAAGGCAUAUACUCACAUUGCAUUGUGACUGCUGGCAAAGUCGGACCAUGAGAAAGUAAUGGAGCACAUGGAGCCAAUAUAACAACUGUACCACUCUAAGUGGAUGCCAUCUGGGUUCCUGUCAUACAAAAGAGGAAAAAACAUUUUUCCCAAAUUUGUCCUACUGCUCAUGUUAACAAUCCACUUCCUUUUUGACCAAUAUUCACUGCAAGAAAUGAACUGUUUUGAGUUGCACAAAUGCCAAUUCAUGGUGGCGCAAAGACUGGUACAAGCAGCACUACAGCACAUUGGUGUAAUCCUGACCUUGAAAUGCACUUUGCCUGGUCAUUUGCUAUUUUCAUUUGCAUGCAAAUGAGGAAGUGGUGCGCUAGUUCUUAGUACUUUGUGAUAACGGAGUCUGACAUUGCACUGAGACCAGACAUCAGGAGACCACGUCAGUUCUCAUGCCACCAGCAUUCAUUUGAUAAUAAAACAGAAAUACAAAGCA